Molecule: transfer RNA, 75 nt
Filed under: Pseudomonadota bacterium
Lineage: Bacteria; Pseudomonadati; Pseudomonadota
Description: tRNA-Gly
Rfam family: tRNA
About the family: Transfer RNA (tRNA) molecules are approximately 80 nucleotides in length. Their secondary structure includes four short double-helical elements and three loops (D, anti-codon, and T loops).
Source: RNAcentral
GCGGGUGUGGUCUAGCCUGGUCUAGGACCCGAGCCUUCCAAGCUCGAGACCCGGGUUCGAAUCCCGGCGCCCGCA